RNAcentral lists this ribosomal RNA (501 nucleotides) under uncultured bacterium. RNAcentral's name for it is "partial 16S ribosomal RNA". It matches the Rfam family "Bacterial small subunit ribosomal RNA", at positions 30 to 523 of the family's 1533-position model. The record is from RNAcentral.
AUUGAACGCUGGCGGCAGGCUUAACACAUGCAAGUCGAGCGGGGGAAGGUAGCUUGCUACCGGACCUAGCGGCGGACGGGUGAGUAAUGCUUAGGAAUCUGCCUAUUAGUGGGGGACAACAUCUCGAAAGGGAUGCUAAUACCGCAUACGUCCUACGGGAGAAAGCAGGGGAUCUUCGGACCUUGCGCUAAUAGAUGAGCCUAAGUCGGAUUAGCGAGUUGGUGGGGUAAAGGCCUACCAAGGCGACGAUCUGUAGCGGGUCUGAGAGGAUGAUCCGGCACACUUGGGCUGAGACACGGACAAGAAUCCUACGGGAGGCAGGAGUGGGGAAUAUUUGACAAUGGGGGGAACCCUGAUCCAGCCAUGCCGGGUGUGUGAAGAAGGCCUUAUGGUUGUAAAGCACUUUAAGCGAGGAGGAGGCUACUCUAGUUAAUACCUAGGGAUAGUGGACGUUACUCGCAGAAUAAGCACCGGCUAACUCUGUGCCAGCCGCCGCCGUAA